RNAcentral lists this transfer RNA (26 nucleotides) under Marsdenia hemiptera. Its description in RNAcentral is "partial tRNA-Phe". The record is from RNAcentral. Lineage: Eukaryota; Viridiplantae; Streptophyta; Magnoliopsida; Gentianales; Apocynaceae.
GUCAGGAUAGCUCAGCUGGUAGAGCA